Molecule: long non-coding RNA, 409 nt
Organism: Artibeus jamaicensis (Jamaican fruit-eating bat)
Lineage: Eukaryota; Metazoa; Chordata; Mammalia; Chiroptera; Phyllostomidae
Exons: 3
Source: RefSeq, a predicted model, not a curated record
CUCCCUGCUUCUCAGAGGGAGAUACCCCUGCUUUGUCGAUUCAUCUGAUUUCACGGUCCUGUUCCCCAUGAAUUCUUCACCCAGAUGCAUGCACUCCAGGACUCUAAGGGUCCUCAGGAGAAUCGCUACCAGAGGAGCAGUGGAAAGUGGCAGCUGUUCCCAAGCUAACCCCCUGAACCUAAUUCCAAGGCCCCUUUUCUCUGACUUCACAUUCCUGGUGCUUUGGGAGCCACAGGCUUGGAUCGGGGCAGCAGAGCUAGGCCCAGCCCUGUGAGUCCCAGCCCCAAUCUCCACUGUCGUCCUACAGAUGCAGGUAUGCCACAACCAGUCCCCAAAGUGGCACAGAAGUGGCAUCAAGAAACCUCAGUAUAAAGGACCCAGGGACCCAGCCAAAUCGGGGUAGUAUGGA